CUUCCUCAAGUACAUUCCAGUAAUGUUUAUUAGUAGUGACUUCAGUAACUUGUAACAUUGAGAGUUUAGAAAUAUAUGUGUGGAACCAUACCAUUAUAAGCCAGCUGCUAAAGAUAACAAAGAAACUUUGGUUUAGCAUUCAACAAUUAAGUAGUAACAAAUACAGUUGAGCUGCAUUUGUUAGAACUUAAUUAUUGAAUGUUGAACCAAAUGUUUCUUUGGUAUCUUAUGAUUUAAUUGUAUAAUAAUUAAGUUGUAUAUAAAUAUUAGAGGCUAAAAAUUCAAUUAGAAUCUGUGGAAUACUUUUCUCAAACUAGACUCAACUGAUCUCCUUUCUCCUGUCAUUCUAGUUGUAUAAUUCUCUAAAGUCAUAAAUUUCUCAAAAGUUUUAUUGGAAAAUUAAAAACAUGAUUUUACAUCCAAAGGACCAUUGGUGAGUAUGUCUAAGGUUCUGUUUCAUGCUAUUGUUUCUGAAAUGCUAGAUAUGCCAUAGUUCUAAAACCAAAUUUUUGGGAAAGUGUUCAGAAGCCUAUUUCUUACCUAUUCUUUUAAGAGGUAGAUCUAAGUAAUUGUGUACUGAAAUAUAAAAUGUGUUGCACAUUUUAAAAUCAGUUUUUCUUUAUAUAGUGCAUUUGCUUUUUAUUAAAUGACUCACUGCAGAAAAAGAAAAUCCUUUGCACUGGUAUCAGUAGACCUUUAUAUCAAAAUUCAAGUGAUAAUUAGAUUUAAUAGGAAUUUUAUAAAUUAUGGUCAUCCCUACUUAUAAGUUACAUAUGUAAAUGGACUGGUAGAGUUCAGUGGUAGAGCACUUGCCAAGCAUGCGCAAGGUUCUAGUUUCUAUCCCCAACACAACAACAAAAAAAUUAGUAAAAAUUACAAAAUUAAUUAGAUAUAUGGUAUUCAUACUUACAUAUUGCAUGUUGUCCACAUUAGGGAGGGGGGGUACCCAGGAUUGAACUUCGGGAUACUCAACCACUGAGCCACAUCCCCAGCCCAAUUUGGUAUUUUAUUUAGAGACGGUGUCUCUCUGAAUUGCAGAGCACCUCACCAUUGCUGAGAGUGGCUUUGAACUUAAGGAUCCUCUAGUCUCAGCCCACCCCUGAACUGUUGGGAUCACCAACUUGUGCCACCAUGCCUGGCAGUGUCUUUUGAGAAUAAUGGCAUCUAAUGGAUCAAGGAAUAACUUUCAAGGACAUUUGUCUUACAUUCUUUAAUUCUACUGUACAUAUUAUGACUUGUAGAACUGAGUCAUUAAUAACUUACUUCUGGGCUGAGGAUGUGACUCAGCGGUAAUGCAUUUGCCUGGCAUGUGUGAGGAACUGGGUUCGAUUCUCAGCACCGCAUAUAAAUAAAUAAAGGUCUAUCAACAACUAAAAAAAAAAAAAAAAAGACCUUUAUUUUUUUUUUCUCUUGCCUGAAGAUUAAACCCAGAAGCACUUUUACUACUGAGCUACAUCCCCAGCAGUACUUCUUGUUUUCGAAAUAAGGUCUAACUAAAUUGCUUAGGACUUUGCUAAAUUGCUGAGGCUGGCCUUGAACUUGUGAUCCUCCUGCUUUACCUCCCAAGUCAUUGAGAUUAUAGGCAUGCACCAUUCUACUCCUUGGAAACCAGAGGUGAAUGUUCCUUUAAAGAAACUUAAUAUAAUUGAAAUUCAGCUUUUUGCUUAAAAUAAAGUUGCUUUUUUCUUCUUUUUGAUAUUUACAUUUUUAUUUUCAUCUACAUACCAUGUAAAAUCCUUCUCCCUAUGUAAUUAGAUUGUAAACCUGUUAGACUACAUACUAUUAAAUGCAUGUAUCCUGAAUUAUACUGAAUAUAUGGCCUCUGGGUAAAUUCUAAAUAUCAGUUUUCCACUUCUUCUUUCCUGUACUGUUGC
Molecule: long non-coding RNA, 1874 nt
Filed under: Marmota monax (woodchuck)
Lineage: Eukaryota; Metazoa; Chordata; Mammalia; Rodentia; Sciuridae
Source: RNAcentral